Molecule: ribosomal RNA, 406 nt
Filed under: uncultured bacterium
Lineage: Bacteria
Description: bacterial SSU rRNA
Rfam family: Bacterial small subunit ribosomal RNA
Source: RNAcentral
AAUGGGCGGAAGCCUGAUCCAGCCAUGCCGCGUGAAGGAUGAAGGCGCUCAGCGUUGUAAACUUCUUUUGGAUGGGGACAAACCACUCGAUUCAUCGGGUGCUGAGGGUACCAUCAGAAUAAGCACCGGCUAACUCCGUGCCAGCAGCCGCGGUAAUACGGAGGGUGCAAGCGUUAUCCGGAAUCACUGGGUUUAAAGGGUGCGUAGGCGGUCUGAUAAGUCAGUUGUGAAAUUCCUCGGCUUAGCCGAGUGGACUGCUAUUGAUACUGUCUGAUUUGAAUCAGGUGGAGGUAGGCGGAAUGUGACAUGUAGCGGUGAAGUGCUUAGAUAUGUCAUAGAACACCGAUUGCGAAGGCAGCUUGCUAGACCUGGAUUGACGCUGAGGCACGAAAGCGUGGGGAGCAAA